GACGAACGCUGGCGGCGUGCUUAACACAUGCAAGUCGAACGGAAAGGCCCUGCUUUUGUGGGGUGCUCGAGUGGCGAACGGGUGAGUAACACGUGAGUAACCUGCCCUUGACUUUGGGAUAACUUCAGGAAACUGGGGCUCAUACCGGAUAGGAGCUCCUGCUGCAUGGGGGGGGUUGGAAAGUUUCGGCGGUUGGGGAUGGAUUCGCGGCUUAUCCGCUUGUUGGUGGGGUAGUGGCUUACCAAGGCUUUGACGGGUAGCCGGCCUGAGAGGUUGACCGGCGACAUUGGGACUGAGAGACGGCCCAGAAGCCUACGGGAGGCAGCAGUGGGGAAUAUGGCACAAUGGGCGGAAGCCUGAGGCAGCAACGUCGCGUGCGGGAUGACGGCCUUCGGGUUGUAAACCGCUUUCGCCGGUGACGAAGCGUGAGUGACGGUAAUGGGUAAAGAAGCACCGGCUAACUACGUG
Molecule: ribosomal RNA, 468 nt
Filed under: uncultured bacterium
Lineage: Bacteria
Description: partial 16S ribosomal RNA
Rfam family: Bacterial small subunit ribosomal RNA
Source: RNAcentral